CUGUCAUUUCUGAGCUUGCUGCAAGUGAUGUCAUAAAUUCAAGGUCAAGAAGAACCAUUACAUGCCACCUCCAAAGACCCACUUUUACAGCUUCCAGCAUGUGUUGUGAAACAUUUCUUCUAAUUUCUAAAAUUGAAACAAUUACUAUGAUCUACAAAAUUUGAAGAACAACUAUGAAUCAAUAAUUUACUGCUAUAAUCAACAAAGGAUAAAUUAACUUCAUCUGACACAUGCUGAAUAAUCUACAUAAAUAUGAUUGCAAGUCAUGGCAAGUAUUCGUAAGUGAUUUGAGAAAGUCCAUGCAUGGGAGCAGGACAAAGAGAAAUAAUCUGAUCAUCCCUAAGAGGUUUCAAGAAUGAGCAAUUGCGUAAAGCUGAGUCCUGGAAGGCUGCCUGUAGGGGGCAGUAUGUGGUCUGGCCUUAAGGACAAACGGAAUUUUCACCGGAGAAGACUGUGGCGGGGGCUUUUCAGGAGGAAUGAAUAGGAAGAGUACAGGAGGCUGUAUAGCAGCAGGUGGCUUUGUUUGGUUGGAAAACACUCCAAGUGAAAAGGCAUUGUGAAGAAUGGAAGAGCUACUGAGAAACCAGCCUAUGGAGUUUGGCUGUCUCUCCUAGUCACAAAUAAGGAGCUGUUACUGGUUUUUGUCAAAAGAACAGGAUGAUCACAUCUGUGCCUUAGGACACUUUAGAUGGGGCAGAACAGGUACAGGGGAUGUGGUGGGGGAAGAAAUGACUCGAUUUCAAACAAAUCAAAUAAAUUACUUUGAUGUUUAAAAAAAAAAAAUAAAA
Molecule: long non-coding RNA, 788 nt
Organism: Homo sapiens (human)
Lineage: Eukaryota; Metazoa; Chordata; Mammalia; Primates; Hominidae
Exons: 3
Source: RefSeq, marked validated